CUGCUGCCCCAAAGAAGGCGGCGGCCAAGGAGGUAGAGGAGGACGAUGAGGAGGAAUCCGACAAGUCCAAGUCGGAGAUCAAUGAUGACGAUGACGAUGAGGGUAGCGACGAGGUAUACACCACACAACAUCCUGUGUACCGUCUCUUCAAUUAGUUUAUGGAACUCGCUAUGCAUGCUAACUGCUUCAGAAGAAUGCUGCAUUAUUCCUUAGCUGUUGAUUCUAAGUGUAGAUUGAUUGUAUCGAGUUGAGGGCUUGAGGCUGUAGUUGAUUAGAUCAACCAUCUGUUAAGUAAGAUCUGUUGUAGACGUGUAUCCUAUGUUCUGAACAUGAAGUUGCCAUUGCAGGACGAGGACGAUGACGAGUGAAGCGGACAAUGCGGGAGCUGCUGUGCGAGAAGCGACCUGAGCUGUGUGCGGUGGUGUCAUAAGGAGCCUAUCCAUCUCCACUAGAAUUAUCCCAAGUUUCACUUCACAUCGUGAUGUUGUUUUACCUUUUUUCUUGUCAUUGUCCUGCUAUAACGGAUAGCGCUCCCUGUUGGCGCCGCUGCCGGCGGGGUGCCCUUGUGUUGGAGGGUGUAUGCUCCCAGCGCCGGGGUGCCCCUGCUUGUACCUAGAUGGUUACUCUUUCCGUCCACCAUUGUCACCGGCUAACAUUGUGAUAAUAUCAGUCUGGGUAAUGUUAGAUUAAGCUGUUGUCGCCCCAUGCCAUGCAUUUGCGUGUAUGAUUUGUUCCUUGUUAUGCUUGCUUUGUUGGUUCUGUGAUUGCUGCU
RNAcentral lists this long non-coding RNA (772 nucleotides) under Triticum aestivum (bread wheat). RNAcentral describes it as "long non-coding RNA (TAES_LNC018624)". The record is from RNAcentral. Lineage: Eukaryota; Viridiplantae; Streptophyta; Magnoliopsida; Poales; Poaceae.